GCCCCCGGUCCUGAGCGUGCGCGGUGAGUGGCCCAGGCUAGGCCUAAUCCUGUUAGUCUCUUUGCUGCCAGCAGCUGCUCCCACCACUCAACUAUGGCCGCUCCCUUAAAGGGACCAUGACGAAGGGAUGAUGUCAGAAUGAAAGAUCUUAAUGGAAGGACUAUCUGGUGAAAUGUCAGUGAGGGGUUCACAUCACCACCCUACACCUGACUACAGAGAUAUUGCCAAAAGGAGAGAACCCUGAUGAGCCAAAGUUCUCAGUGACCCUAUGAACAUGAAGAAUCCCAACCAAGAAGAAAACAAGACUGUUAUCUGAAGGAGAAACCAACAGCUUGUCAAGUAAAGGGCGUCGACUCUCAAGGAACAACUUCCAACCUUAAAACCAGAUCCACUGGUAGUGUUGAAGGCAGAACCAAUAACUGAAGACAAUUUCCUCAAUACCUGCUUGCCAUUAGAAUACUAAAAUGAAAAAGGAUCUUAGAAACCAUCUACUCCAUUGCUUUCAAAGUUAACAUUGCCAGUAUGGUCAUUUGAAAUAAAUUAAUUUACCUCAAGAUAUCGAGUGGCUGGUGAGGAGCUAGAACACAGUCUGGAAUUGCAUUCCUCCAGGAUUCUGAACACACAAAACUGUCGUCAAGGCAAAAGAACAUAAAAUGUCAAGAGUCUUGAUAGUUCAAGAACAUGGCUGCUCUCCUGAGAAGUUUCAUGGUGAUGACCUGCAACUGCUGUGUGCCAUCAUUUGCCUCCACUGAAGGAAUUUGAGGGUCUGACUUAAAGAAUAGGAGCUUGAACUGUCAAGGCAGGAAAUCCAAGGGUAGGCACUAUCUUCCCUGAAGCACAACGAAGCCAAAGAUAAUGAGAGCUGAAGUCCCCUCUUGGAUUCUUAAUGAAGACAUAGGCACAACAGACAGACAUAUAGUAAAAAAUACAAGGAAAUUAGUUUAGGUUGGUUGGAGUUGGGUUGGUUGGAGUUGGAUUGGUUGGAGUUGGGUUGGUUGGAGCUAGGUUGCUAUGUAACCCAGAGUGGCCUGAAACUGCUGGUCUUCCUGCCUUGACCAAGUGCUUGGACUGCUGGUAUACUAGGAAAUCCCCAAAGAACUAAUUAAAAAAAAUGUUUAAGUCUCU
Molecule: long non-coding RNA, 1125 nt
Filed under: Mus musculus (house mouse)
Lineage: Eukaryota; Metazoa; Chordata; Mammalia; Rodentia; Muridae
Description: long non-coding RNA chr4:126968254-126969379
Source: RNAcentral